Molecule: long non-coding RNA, 2234 nt
Organism: Entelurus aequoreus (snake pipefish)
Lineage: Eukaryota; Metazoa; Chordata; Actinopteri; Syngnathiformes; Syngnathidae
Exons: 3
Source: RefSeq, a predicted model, not a curated record
AAGUCGGUGUGAACGCCUGCGUCCCACCAAAAAUACAAAAGAGGAAGAAGAAGAAGAAGACCUAUUAUGGCCGACGCUCCAAAACAACCAAAUAAACAAAAAGUUUUGCCUGAGGAGACAAAAAAAGGACAAUGAAGGAGGGAUUUCAGACCUACGCUGCUUUGUUCCUGCUAAACUAAAUGCUGCAGCUAAAACUCCAACAGAGGGCGCUGUCUCGGAUGGGACACUCGCCGUUCUUCAGUUUGAGGGCGCAGGUGUGGCAGAGACACAUGUGACCGCAGGAGUACAACACCGUGUCCACCGCCUCGUCGUAGCACACCACGCACUCCUCCCAUGCAGGGGACUCUGGCUCCGCCUCUGCCAGGAAGUCAAUACAAAACACUCAGAAAGAAAGUUGUCGUUUUUCAAGCACUGAAUUUUUAAAAUCAAAAUUGGAGAAAAAUACAAAAUUUUUCAAUAUUAAAAUCAGAGUUGGAGAAAAAUACAGAAUUAUUUAAGAUUAAAAUCAAUAUUGGAGAAAAAUACAGAAUUUUUCAAUAUUAAAAUCAGAGUUGGAGAAAAAUACAGAAUUAUUUAAGAUUAAAAUCAAAGUUGGAGAAAAAUACAGAAUUAUUCAAAAUUAAAACAAAAGUUGGAGAAAAAUUCAGAAUUAUUUAAGAUUAAAAUCAAAAUUGGAGAAAAAUACCGAAUUUUUCAAGAUUAAAAUCAAUGUUGGAGAAAAAUACUGAAUUAUUCAAGAUUAAAAUCCAAAUUGGAGAAAAAUACAGAAUGAUUUAAAAUUAAAAUCAAAAUUGGAAAAAAAUACAGAAUUAUUUAAGAUUAAGAUCAAAGUUGGAGAAAAAUACAGAAUUAUUUAAGAUUCAAAUCAAAAUUGUAGAAAAAUACAGAAUUAUUUAAUAUUAAAAUCAAAAUUGGAGAAAAACACAGAAUUAUUUAAGAAUAAAAUCAAAGUUGAAGAAAAAUACAGAAUUAUUCAAGAUUAAAAUCAAAAUUGGAGAAAAAUACAUAAUUUUUUAAGAUUAAAAUCAAAAUUGGAGAAAAAUACAGAAUUGUUUAAGAUUAAAAUCAAAAUUGGAGAAAAAAAAAGAAUUAUUAAAGAUUAAAAUCAAAAUUGGAGAAAAAUACAGAAUUUUCAAGAUUAAAUUCAAAAUUGGAGAAAAAUACAGAAUUAUUUAAGAUUAAAAUCAAAAUUGGAGAAAAAUACAGAAUUAUUUAAGAUUAAAAUCAAAGUUGGAGAAAAAUACAGAAUUUUUUAAGAUUAAAAUAAAAAUUGGAGAAAAAUACAGAAUUGUUUAAGAUUAAAAUCAAAAUUGGAAAAUAAAAAAAAAGAAUUAUUAAAGAUUAAAAUCAAAAUUGGAGAAAAAUAAAGAAUAAUUUUAGAUUAAAAUCAAAAUUGGAGAAAAAUACAGAAUUAUUUAAGAUUAAAAUAAAAGUUGGAGAAAAAUACAGAAUUGUUCAAGAUUAAAUUCAAAAUUGGAGAAAAAUACAGAAUUAUUUAAGAUUAAAAUCGAAAUUGGAGAAAAAUACAGAAUUAUUUAAGAUUAAAAUCAAAGUUGGAGAAAAAUACUGAAUUAUCUAGGAUUAAAAUCAAAGUUGGAGAAAAAUAUAGAAUUUUUCAAGAUUCAAAUAAAAAUUGGAGAAAAAUACAGAAAUAUUCAAGAUUAAAAUAAAAGUUGGAGGAAAAAAAAGAAUUAUUCAAGAUUAAAAUCAAAAUUGGAGAAAAAAAUCCCAAUAUUAAUUUCAGCAGGACAUACUUUUUUAACAUGCAUCCGAAAAUCCCAAAAAAAUGUCAUAUUGCAAAAAGAUGUUUUACAAGGAUGAAGUCAAAUAAUUAAAAUAAGCUCUUUUUUUUUUUUUUGCAAAUAGUUCAUAUUUAAUGUUUAAUAUUAGUAAUAUUGAAUUGAGCUAUUUAAAAACAUUAGGUAACUACUUUAAAGAAUUUUCAUAGUUCUAAUAAUAAAUAAAUAAUAAUAAUGUGUAAAAAAUUUAUAGCAAUAAAAUAAUUUUGGAGUUGGGGAAAUAAAAUCGAUAAUUCAGGAGAAUUAUGUUGCAAUUUGACUGGGAAAAUAGCAAAAAUAUACAAGGAAAAGAGAAAAAAACUAUAUAUAUAUAUAUAUAUAUAUAUAUAAUAUUUUGACAACAAUAAAAAAUUAAGUAGAGAAAUUACCGGAAUGAAGUCAUAAUUUAAAGAAAAACAAUAGUUACAGUUAACAAUAGAGUUGGGGAAAUAAAAU